Molecule: ribosomal RNA, 253 nt
Filed under: uncultured bacterium
Lineage: Bacteria
Description: partial 16S ribosomal RNA
Rfam family: Bacterial small subunit ribosomal RNA
Source: RNAcentral
UACGUAGGGCGCAAGCGUUAUCCGGAAUUAUUGGGCGUAAAGAGCUCGUAGGCGGUUUGUCGCGUCUGCUGUGAAAGACCGGGGCUCAACUCCGGUUCUGCAGUGGGUACGGGCAGACUAGAGUGCAGUAGGGGAGACUGGAAUUCCUGGUGUAGCGGUGAAAUGCGCAGAUAUCAGGAGGAACACCGAUGGCGAAGGCAGGUCUCUGGGCUGUAACUGACGCUGAGGAGCGAAAGCUAGGGGAGCAAACGGG